Molecule: ribosomal RNA, 554 nt
Filed under: Psychrobacter faecalis
Lineage: Bacteria; Pseudomonadati; Pseudomonadota; Gammaproteobacteria; Moraxellales; Moraxellaceae
Description: bacterial SSU rRNA
Rfam family: Bacterial small subunit ribosomal RNA
Source: RNAcentral
UUCUCGCUGACGAGCGGCGGACGGGUGAGUAAUACUUAGGAAUCUACCUAGUAGUGGGGGAUAGCUCGGGGAAACUCGAAUUAAUACCGCAUACGACCUACGGGAGAAAGGGGGCAACUUGUUGCUCUCGCUAUUAGAUGAGCCUAAGUCGGAUUAGCUAGAUGGUGGGGUAAAGGCCUACCAUGGCGACGAUCUGUAGCUGGUCUGAGAGGAUGAUCAGCCACACCGGGACUGAGACACGGCCCGGACUCCUACGGGAGGCAGCAGUGGGGAAUAUUGGACAAUGGGGGCAACCCUGAUCCAGCCAUGCCGCGUGUGUGAAGAAGGCCUUUUGGUUGUAAAGCACUUUAAGCAGUGAAGAAGACUCCAUGGUUAAUACCCAUGGACGAUGACAUUAGCUGCAGAAUAAGCACCGGCUAACUCUGUGCCAGCAGCCGCGGUAAUACAGAGGGUGCAAGCGUUAAUCGGAAUUACUGGGCGUAAAGCGAGCGUAGGUGGCUUGAUAAGUCAGAUGUGAAAGCCCCGGGCUUAACCUGGGAACGGCAUCUGAUACU